GAGGAAUUGACUCCUUUGAUUCUUGCUACCCAGAAGCAGUUCAACUUCACACACAUCUGUGCAGGAGCUUCUGCUUUUGGGAAGAAUCUCCUUCCCAGUGUCAGCCAAGCUGGAUGUUGUAACUCUCUCUGACAUCAUCGAGGUCAAAUCUCAAGACACCGUCGUUAGAACCAUUUACGCUGGCCCUGGCCACAGUGAAGUGCAAUGAGAAAGUCAAGGUGUUCACAGUGAGGGGAACUUCCUUUGAACCUGCUGCUGUGGAGGGAGGCAGUGC
This is a long non-coding RNA of Oncorhynchus gorbuscha (pink salmon), 274 nucleotides long. RefSeq lists it as uncharacterized. The record is from RefSeq and is a predicted model, not a curated record. Lineage: Eukaryota; Metazoa; Chordata; Actinopteri; Salmoniformes; Salmonidae. The transcript is spliced from 3 exons.